This 72-nucleotide transfer RNA is filed under the name Camelus bactrianus (Bactrian camel). It matches the Rfam family "tRNA". Rfam says of the family: Transfer RNA (tRNA) molecules are approximately 80 nucleotides in length. Their secondary structure includes four short double-helical elements and three loops (D, anti-codon, and T loops). The record is from Rfam by way of RNAcentral. Lineage: Eukaryota; Metazoa; Chordata; Mammalia; Artiodactyla; Camelidae. RNAcentral also lists the same sequence under 1 other name.
GAGGGGAUGGCUCAGUGGUAGAGCGCAUGCUUAGCAUGCACGAGGUUCUGGGUUCAAUCCCCAAUACCUCCA